This 253-nucleotide ribosomal RNA is filed under the name uncultured bacterium. Its description in RNAcentral is "partial 16S ribosomal RNA". It matches the Rfam family "Bacterial small subunit ribosomal RNA", at positions 524 to 776 of the family's 1533-position model. The record is from RNAcentral.
UACAGAGGGUGCGAGCGUUAAUCGGAAUUACUGGGCGUAAAGCGCACGUAGGCGGCGAUGUAAGUCGGGUGUGAAAGCCCCGGGCUCAACCUGGGAAUUGCAUUCGAGACUGCAUUGCUGGAGUACGGAAGAGGAGGGCGGAAUUCCCGGUGUAGCGGUGAAAUGCGUAGAUAUCGGGAGGAACAUCAGUGGCGAAGGCGGCCCUCUGGUCCAGUACUGACACUCAAGUGCGAAAGCGUGGGGAGCAAACAGG